UGAAGUAUUGUUUGAUGAUGUUUAUGAAUUGUUUGAAACAAUAGGAAAGUAAGUACAUGUAUUUUUAUACGACCGCAAAAAUUGAAAAUUUUUUGGUCGUAUAUUGGUAUGACGUUGGCGUCCUCAUCGUUUUCAUCGUCCGAAGACAUUUGGUUUUCGCACUUUAACUUUGGUAUAAGUAAAUAGAAAUUUAAACACAAGGUUUAUGACCAUAAAAGGAAGGUUGGGAUUGAUUUUGGGAGUUUUGGUCCCAACAGUUUAGGAAUUAGGGGCCAAAAAGGGCCCAAAUAAGCAUUUUUCUUGGUGUUCGCACAAUAACUUUAGUAUAAGUAAACAGAGAGAAAUCUAUGAAAUUUUAACAUAAGGUUUAUGACCACUAAAGGAAGGUUGGGAUUGAUUUUGGGAGUUUUGGUUCCAACAGUUCAGGAAUUAGGGACCAAAAAAAGGUCCCAAAUAAGCAUUUUUCUUGGUUUUUGCACAAUAACUUUAGUAUAAGUAAAUAGAAAUCUAUGAAAUUUUAACACAAGGUUUAUGACCACAAAAGGA
RNAcentral lists this long non-coding RNA (546 nucleotides) under Mytilus galloprovincialis (Mediterranean mussel). The record is from RNAcentral. Lineage: Eukaryota; Metazoa; Mollusca; Bivalvia; Mytilida; Mytilidae.